This 497-nucleotide ribosomal RNA is filed under the name uncultured bacterium. Its description in RNAcentral is "partial 16S ribosomal RNA". It matches the Rfam family "Bacterial small subunit ribosomal RNA", at positions 28 to 507 of the family's 1533-position model. The record is from RNAcentral.
GAUGAACGCUGGCGGCGUGCCUAAUACAUGCAAGUCGAGCGAACAGAUAAGGAGCUUGCUCCUUUGACGUUAGCGGCGGACGGGUGAGUAACACGUGGGUAACCUACCUAUAAGACUGGGAUAACUUCGGGAAACCGGAGCUAAUACCGGAUAACAUUUGGAACCGCAUGGUUCUAAAGUGAAAGAUGGUUUUGCUAUCACUUAUAGAUGGACCCGCGCCGUAUUAGCUAGUUGGUAAGGUAACGGCUUACCAAGGCAACGAUACGUAGCCGACCUGAGAGGUUGAUCGGCCACACUGGAACUGAGACACGUUCCAGACUCCUACGGGAGGCAGCAGUAGGGAAUCUUCCGCAAUGGGCGAAAGCCUGACGGAGCAACGCCGCGUGAGUGAUGAAGGGUUUCGGCUCGUAAAACUCUGUUAUUAGGGAAGAACAAAUGUGUAAGUAACUGUGCACGUCUUGACGGUACCUAAUCAGAAAGCCACGGCUAACUACGUG